AAUCUUCCAGGAGGCCGGAUCAAGUGGCUGUUGUGCGAGUCUCAGCUUUGCAUCUUCUGACUUACCUGAGUUCACUGUGGUUUUACCUGAUUUACAUGUAGACACAGUUUUUCUUGUUGAUCAUGUAAAUUGAAAAUGUAGAUUUUUGGAGAACACAGUUGCAGAGCUACAGUAUGAUGCUAUAUUUCAGGACGUGUCACUAACUAGCAGCCUUUUCCCCUGAAGUUCUUUCUGCAUAUGGAGGACUCAGCUCAUUUUUUCUCCGCUCUCCUGUUUCCAGUAAGCCACCGCCCUCCUCCCCCUCUCUGUGGCUUUGCAUCGAAUUUACCACUAAUGGGCCGCUUUUCCCAGUGCCACUGUUUGCAUUACAGUAACGUGUGUUUGCUCAGGGCUUGGCCUUAGCUUGCCGACGCGGGCUGACGGCUCUAUGGAUUUUUCCUAACCUCCAUAUGAUAGAGCCAGUGUUUGUGGAAAACUUUAUUAGAAGUAGUGGCGUAGAGUGUGCCUUAGCACAGUGUGAAUGGGAACUACAAUCACGUUUGACCUGCUUAGCACAGCGUCACAAAGCCGAGGUUAUACACCAUGUGUGCGUGUGUGUGUGUGUGUGUAACUGUAAGAGAUAUGCUUGCUUGUUGUGUUUGGAGGCUGAAUGCCUCAGGCAAUGAGUUGCUGUCACGCUAUCAUGAUGUUGUGCAGUACAGCGUCUGCCAAUGCAUCAAUAAUGGCAAUUAUAUCUCAUAAUGGCAGAAAGCGAGAUCCAAAGGUGGAAAAUAGAGCAUUAUCCAGCUGUGGGGUGUGGUGCGUCUGUUGGUGUGUGUGUGUGUCUGUGUGUGGGUGUGUGUGUGUGUUGCUCAGAGAACGAUGUCCUCACACCCUUAUCGCAGCUUGUAUUUACCUGUUGUGUUCCCAUGGUGACUCCCGCCAUUUCCGAGUCCUCAAAAGGUGUCAACCGGAGUGGAGUGUAGGAUCGAGAGAGAUUAGGUUAGAAGUAACCUGGCAUUUGUGCCAAGGUGUGAACCUUUUUAUACUCGGAUUUGUCAGAUACAAUCCUUCAUUCAUCAGUUUCCUGCGUUUUUAUUUGUUCCGACAAACUUAUGCAAAAUUUACAAGAAAUUCCAACAGUUUUGGAAAGACCUGCUCAGAUAAGGCCUAACAAUUUACCAUAUUUAUUUGAGUGAAUUGAUAAAGCAAAGCAGUAUGUUAUUCGUUUUAUUGUAUCAUUGGCAUGAUUUAAUCUUAGUUGCAUUCUAUAUUGAGAAAAUGACACAUAUUCCUAGUUGUAUAACAGGAAAUGAUUGUAUGUAUACUUAAAAAAUGUAUCAUUAAAUGAAUAGUAAACUUGCAAAAAAAACCAUGGGCAUUUUCUUUCGGUGAUUGUACUUUUUUUGGUUAUCUGUGUUGCUUUUGUAGAAUAAAGAAAAGAUAUUAAAGCUGUAAAAGUCAAAGGCAGAGAUUAAGUAUGUGCCUGCUAUUGAAAAUGAAAGAAAGAGGAGCGUACGUUUGUGAAUGACAGCGAGUAAGCCACCGAUGACUUUCUUCGAAACAGGAAGGCGUAGUGAUGUCAUUCUUCACAUUGACGCAGCCAUCUGCUCCUCCUGACGGGCAGUUUUUUUUACUGUCACUAUGGCAACGGCUGCGGUGUAAGCAAACAUCCGGACCUAAAGCCCCCUCCACACACACACACUUUACCGUUUAUAUUAUCACAGCACCACACCUGCAGGUUAAUGGCUUUCCUCUGAACAUUUCCUCGUACCGACUAAAAACAGACUCAUAUAAAAAGUGCUGACUAAAUGCAAUCCUGCCAACUGUUCAUAUAAUGUCUGAUGUGUUUUAUUGAAAAGUCCAAUAAAAUACAUCUAAUCUUUGUAAAGGGAUGGAUUUCUAUUUUUCUCAACACUGAUAGAAACAUUUUUUCACAUUUAUUUGAUCCAAAAUCUCAAAAAACCCUUUUACUGAGCAUCAUUUAUUUAUGUGGUUCAAUGUGCCAGUGUGCUUUUGUGUUUCUCUGUGUGCUGCAUAACCACCUGUAUUCUCCAUGAAUGGGCUAUAUUACUAUUCUACAUGAAUACAUGGGCAUUUUUUUUUAUCUCUGAAUAACCAGGCCAAGGCAUUCUUGAAUGUAGAUUUAAUUUUCAAACACAGCCGUCACUUCCUCUUUUUUUGUCAAGCCGGCACAAAUGAGCGUUAUAUGCAUUUCUGUUUCCAUGGUCACAAAAGGGAACCGGUGUUUCUUGAUGUUUUUUUUGUUUGGUUUUUUUCAACCCGACAAUUUUCAACUGCUUUAAUAAUGGAAUAUGAGUUUCACAAGUGACUAGAGGACACACUGUAACAUCCAAAGAGACAGAAAAUGCCUUAAAGCAUUGGACUCAUUUCAGAUAAUCUCAGAUCACAAGGAAACAGACGCAACAGACUCAAUUUGACUUGGAGCCUUUUUUAGCUUUUAUUGAUAUCUCGGUUUUAUUGAUGUCACAGGACAAGUCACUGGCGCCAGCCCAUAGUUGGUAGGCUGCAUUCUUAUUAUUAUGUAUUUAUAACAUUCAAAACUUUUACAAACUGUAUGCAGCCAUCUUGCUCUGGAUUCCAGGUGUGAGAAGUGUGGCUUUUCCGAGAGUGUACAUCUCUGGACUGCAUCUGUGUGUUUGGAUGUGUGGAUGUGUGUCUCUGAGGUGCUAUGUUGGCAAGACUAGGCCCCUGUUCCUGCUGAACUGAGCCAGCUGAAGAGAGACACUGAUUAUCAGCACAGCAGGCACAGGAGACCAGCCCAAUGAUAAAGACCAGAAAGAGAAACACCAGCAAACACUGAAACAGAGAGAAAGAGAGAGAAAAAGAGAGAGA
Silurus meridionalis is the source of this 2835-nucleotide long non-coding RNA. RefSeq lists it as uncharacterized. The transcript has 2 exons. NCBI's taxonomy places the organism in Eukaryota, Metazoa, Chordata, Actinopteri, Siluriformes, Siluridae. The record is from RefSeq and is a predicted model, not a curated record.